GGAUGAACGUUGGCGGCGUGCCUAAUACAUGCAAGUCGAACGAAGACUGUAGUAAUACUGUCUUAGUGGCGAACGGGUGAGUAACGCGUGGGUGACCUGCCCCGAAGUGUGGGAUAACAGUUCGAAAGGAUUGCUAAUACUGCAUAAUAUCCAAGAGAUUAGACGCUUUUGGAUUAAAGGAGUAAUUCGCUUCGGGAGGGGCCCGCGUCCCAUCAGCUAGUUGGUAAGGUAAUGGCUUACCAAGGCGAUGACGGGUAGGGGACCUGAGAGGGUGGCCCCCCACAAUGGAACUGAAACACGGUCCAUACACCUACGGGUGGCAGCAGUAGGGAAUAUUAGUAAUGGGCGAAAGCCUGAACUAGCAACGCCGCGUGUGCGAAGAAGGCCUUCGGGUUGUAAAGCACUUUUUGAGAGGAUGAGGAAGGACGGUACUCUCAGAAUAAGUCUCGGCUAACUACGUGCCAGCAGCCGCGGUAACACGUAGGAGGCAAACGUUAUCCGGAUUUACUGGGCGUAAAGCGCGUGUAGGUGGUUUGGUAAGUAGGGCGUGAAAGCUCCUGGCUCAACUGGGAGAGGACGUUCUAAACUGCCAAGCUUGAGGAUGGUAGAGGGAGGUGGAAUUCCGGGUGUAGCGGUGGAAUGCGCAGAUAUCCGGAGGAACACCAGUGGCGAAGGCGGCCUCCUGGACCACUCCUGACACUCAGACGCGAAAGCUAGGGUAGCAAACGGGAUUAGAGACCCCGGUAGUCCUAGCCCUAAACGAUGUCGACUAGUCGUUCGGAGCAGCAAUGCACUGAGUGACGCAGCUAACGCGUGAAGUCGACCGCCUGGGGAGUACGGCCGCAAGGUUAAAACUCAAAGGAAUUGACGGGGACCCGCACAAGCGGUGGAUGAUGUGGAUUAAUUCGAUGCAACGCGAAAAACCUUACCUACCCUUGACAUGUCUGGAACCUUGCUGAGAGGCGAGGGUGCCUUCGGGAGCCAGAACACAGGUGCUGCAUGGCUGUCGUCAGCUCGUGUCGUGAGAUGUUGGGUUAAGUCCCGCAACGAGCGCAACCCUUAUCACUAGUUGCCAUCAUUUGGUUGGGCACUCUAGUGAGACUGCCGGUGACAAACCGGAGGAAGGUGGGGAUGACGUCAAGUCCUCAUGGCCCUUAUGGGUAGGGCUUCACACGUCAUACAAUGGUCGGUACAGAGGGUUGCCAAGCCGCGAGGUGGAGCCAAUCCCUUAAAGCCGAUCGUAGUCCGGAUCGUAGUCUGCAACUCGACUACGUGAAGUCGGAAUCGCUAGUAAUCGCAGAUCAGCAUGCUGCGGUGAAUACGUUCCCGGGUCU
This 1334-nucleotide ribosomal RNA is filed under the name uncultured bacterium. RNAcentral describes it as "bacterial SSU rRNA". It matches the Rfam family "Bacterial small subunit ribosomal RNA", at positions 27 to 1381 of the family's 1533-position model. The record is from RNAcentral.